RNAcentral lists this ribosomal RNA (253 nucleotides) under uncultured bacterium. RNAcentral's name for it is "partial 16S ribosomal RNA". It matches the Rfam family "Bacterial small subunit ribosomal RNA", at positions 524 to 776 of the family's 1533-position model. The record is from RNAcentral.
UACGUAGGGUGCGAGCGUUAAUCGGAAUUACUGGGCGUAAAGCGUGCGUAGGCGGUCCGCGAAGUCUGAUGUGAAAGCCCCGGGCUCAACCUGGGAACUGCAUUGGAAACUAACGGGCUCGAGUGUGGCAGAGGGGGGUGGAAUUCCACGUGUAGCAGUGAAAUGCGUAGAGAUGUGGAGGAACACCGAUGACGAAGGCAGCCCCCUGGGCUAACACUGACGCUCAGGCACGAAAGCGUGGGGAGCAAACAGG